RNAcentral lists this ribosomal RNA (878 nucleotides) under uncultured organism. RNAcentral's name for it is "bacterial SSU rRNA". It matches the Rfam family "Bacterial small subunit ribosomal RNA", at positions 13 to 885 of the family's 1533-position model. The record is from RNAcentral.
UUGAUCCUGGCUCAGAGUGAACGCUAGCGGCGUGGUUAUGACAUGCAAGUCGAACGAUGAAGCCCAGCUUGCUGGGCGGAUUAGUGGCAUACGGGUGCGUAACACGUGAGCAACCUGCCUUGAAGUGGGGAAUAGCCCGGGGAAACCCGGAUUAAUACCGCAUGUGGUCUCUUUUCGCAUGAAAAGACGACUAAAGUCUGUAAUGACUCUUCAAGAGGGGCUCGCGGCCUAUCAGCUUGUUGGUGAGGUAAAGGCUCACCAAGGCAAAGACGGGUAGCUGGUCUGAGAGGAUGAUCAGCCACACUGGAACUGAGAUACGGUCCAGACACCUACGGGUGGCAGCAGUUUCGAAUCAUUCACAAUGGGGGAAACCCUGAUGGUGCAACGCCGCGUGGAGGAUGACGGCCUUCGGGUUGUAAACUCCUGUCACCAAGGAACAAACGGCAGGUUCAUAGCCUGUCCUGAGUUAACUUGGAGAGGAAGAGGUGGCUAACUCCGUGCCAGCAGCCGCGGUAAUACGGAGACCUCGAGCGUUACUCGGAUUCACUGGGCGUAAAGAGUAUGUAGGCGGUUUGGUAUGUCAGGUGUGAAAGCCCGAAGCUCAACUUCGGAAUUGCGCCUGAAACUACCGGACUUGAGGCCUGGAGAGGGGAGUGGAAUUCCUGGUGUAGCGGUGAAAUGCGUAGAUAUCAGGAGGAACACCAAUGGCGAAGGCAGCUCCCUGGACAGGUUCUGACGCUGAGAUACGAAAGCGUGGGUAGCGAAAGGGAUUAGAUACCCCUGUAGUCCACGCCGUAAACGUUGUACACUAGGUUUCGGAGGGCCUAACCCUUCGGAGCUCAAGCUAACGCGAUAAGUGUACCGGCUGAGGACUACGG